GGCUGGUCUGAAGGUAGAGAUAACAAUCAAGUUAUCUCACUUGAUUAUUCACAAUCAGUUACAGAUUGAACUUCUUGUUCUACUCUUUCCUCCCUUCUCAUUAUUGUACUCGACUAAUCUGUA
Otolemur garnettii (small-eared galago) is the source of this 123-nucleotide unclassified non-coding RNA. It matches the Rfam family "Y RNA". From Rfam's summary of the family: Y RNAs are components of the Ro ribonucleoprotein particle (Ro RNP), in association with Ro60 and La proteins. The Y RNAs and Ro60 and La proteins are well conserved, but the function of the Ro RNP is not known. The record is from Ensembl. NCBI's taxonomy places the organism in Eukaryota, Metazoa, Chordata, Mammalia, Primates, Galagidae.